UUAUGUUCACGUGCUGAGUUUACUUUUAUGCUUCAUGCUUUAUUGUAGAUUUUAACAGCAUAUACAACAUAGCUUACAAUUCAUUUCAUUUUGACAUACCUAUCUGCAGUUGGAAGUCAAGUUUCUUAAUUUCCAUUAGUUAUAAAACCGAGGCCUCUUAAUUUGUAUUAUUUUCAUCUUUCAGAUUGCCCCUUUGUCUAUGCUAUGCUAUUGCUAAUUGACAUUACUACAAGUUGACCUCAGGAGGUCUUAUGAUCGCUAGGAACUUAUUCUCUGUAGGGUGAAACAAUGGUUAGG
RNAcentral lists this unclassified non-coding RNA (297 nucleotides) under Hevea brasiliensis (rubber tree). The record is from RNAcentral. Lineage: Eukaryota; Viridiplantae; Streptophyta; Magnoliopsida; Malpighiales; Euphorbiaceae.